AUGAUCCCUGAGGUCCCUUCACACCUGGGACUCUGGGAUCCCGGGUGCUGGGGGUGCAGGAUGGCGAUCACUGGGGGGUGGGAUGUGGAUCCUGGGGGCUGGGACACGGACCCCAGGUCCUGGGGCUGGGGUGACGGACAUGGACCCUGGGUGCUGGGGGGUGGGAUGUGGACCCUGGAUGCUGGGGUGAAAGACGUGGACCCCAGGUUCUGGGGCUGGGGUGAAGGACAUGGACCUGGGGUGCUGGGAUAUGGGAUGUGGAUCCUGGGAGCUGGGGCUGGGGGUUGGGACGUGGAUCCAAGGUCCUGGGGUGCAAGACACGGGACCCCCAGGUGCUGGGCAAGGCCGGGGUGGGCUCAAAGGGACUGGAGGAGGCCAGGAGCCAGCUGGGGAGCUGGCUUGGAAGCGCAGAGCUCCUGGGCUGAGUCCACCCCACAGCUGGUGGCUCCGCUCCCCGCCCAGCCCCGGGGACCACUGAGUGGGCUGCGGAUGCUGCGGGGCCGGUGGCCAGCACACCCGGGGGGAGCAGAGUCCGGGGCCAGGAGGGCUGGGGUGGGCACAGACGGGGUCCAGGGCACGGAGCUGGGGCUGGGCAUGGGGCCGGGGACCUGCCUGGAGCCCCAGUUUCCCUCUGCCCCCUGUUGGGGGGUCCUGCCAGGGCGGUGGGGCCGUGGCGGGGCCCUGAGAUCAUUGGAGCCGGGCCGGGGAGCAGCUGGGAGGGGAACAGCCAUGAGCUCAUCCCGGCGCUCCGGGGCCGGGGCAGGGCCGCAUCCCGCUGCCUCUCCCGGCAUCCCGCCCCCGGGGUCCCCACCUCGUCCCAGCACCCGCUCCUCCAACGGACCCCAGCAAGGUGGCACCUCACAGCCCCCGCCUGCGCCCUGCCCGCCCAGGACAUGGCCAUGGGGACCCCCCCCAUGGUGGGAGCAGGACACGGUCAUGGCUACGGAGAUGUCCACGGAGGGAGCAGGACAUUGCCAUGGGGAUCCUCCAUGGUGGGAGAUGGAUGUGGCCAUGGGGACCCCCCACAGAGGGAACAGGACGUGGCCAUGGGGACACCCCCCCAAAGUUGAAGCAGGACACGGCCACGGGGAUCUCCCAUGGUGGGAGCAGGACAUGGCCAUGGCCACAGAGAUGCCCACGGAGGGAGCAGAACGUGACCACAGAGAUGCCCACAGAGAGAGCAGGACAUUCCCAUGGGGAUCCUGCAUGGUGGGAGCAGGACAUGACCAUGGACAUGGAGAUGCCCACAGAGGGAGCAGGACACAGCCAUGGGGGUCCCCCAUAGUGUGA
This 1290-nucleotide long non-coding RNA is filed under the name Calidris pygmaea (Spoon-billed sandpiper). Its description in RNAcentral is "lncRNA (ENSCPGG00000003097.1)". Lineage: Eukaryota; Metazoa; Chordata; Aves; Charadriiformes; Scolopacidae. The record is from RNAcentral.